Molecule: long non-coding RNA, 817 nt
Organism: Cervus elaphus (red deer)
Lineage: Eukaryota; Metazoa; Chordata; Mammalia; Artiodactyla; Cervidae
Exons: 4
Source: RefSeq, a predicted model, not a curated record
UGUGGUAAGAGGCGGAUGGCAGCCUUAGUCCCGGGCCCUCCAGGCCUCUGGCCCACGCUGGCGGGUGAGCUGGGGGCGCCCUGGAAGAGACUGAGGGCUGUGUCUCUAGAUCUCCCGGGCCCUCUCCACGGCCACCCCUGACCAGGCCCAAGCCUUGAAGCAGCAGCAAACCUCUCCCCAGGCCCUCCUACAUGACCCACGGCGGGCCCAUCGACUGGAAUGUAUACGGACGCGGCCAUUAAGGUUUCUUGAAGCCCUUAAGAGUUCCUGGUGCUCAGACUCUUCCAGAAGGUUCUGUCCCACCUUAAAAUCUAAGUGAGGAUCCCCUGCUCCUGCUCCCACCUUUCCACAGCACAAUAAAAACAAGAUGGAACUUAAAUGAAGAACACCGAGUAUUUUCCUGGGGUUCCUGUGAGUCCUGUUCUCCCUGUUGUCAGUUUUAAUUCAUGAUCUAAUCAUUCAACGAUGCUGUCAGCUGGAAGGAAAAAGUCCCACAGGGCACAUCAUGGGAAUAUCUCUCCACCCAGGGUUCACAUAGCUUUGUCACCAUAUCUGAUCUCUGCUGCCACAGAUAACCAGCCAACAGAACUGAACGUGCAGACUUGGGAAGGCUUUCAAUUGAAUUUUUGAGAAAAAGGUUACUAUACAGACUGGUCAGCUCCUUUUGUGCCGCUACCACUAUUCUCUUGGUCCAGUAUUCCUUCCCUCAGGCCUUUCUGUGCCUUUAUAAAGAUCAGCAAUUAUUUUCAGCUCCAAGCAGGAUGCUGCCAUGCAGGGGCUCCCCAGAGGCAAUAAGUCUGGGAGAGAAGGUGGCUGA